This is a non-coding RNA of Cucurbita pepo subsp. pepo (vegetable marrow), 3536 nucleotides long. Lineage: Eukaryota; Viridiplantae; Streptophyta; Magnoliopsida; Cucurbitales; Cucurbitaceae. The record is from RefSeq and is a predicted model, not a curated record.
UACUUGAUUCGUCACCAGACGACCUUGCACAAUUAUCACUUAAAAUAAAUUAAAUUUUGUAUUUUGUGUUCUAGGGAUUUGGAUUUUAUGCUAUAUUAUUUUGUCCACCUAUUGAUCUUUUUGUUUUCUGCUUUAACUCAAACCCUUUGCCUUACCUGCAUGGCUGGACAGCUUUAUGUAUCCUAUAAAGCUUACACGAGGAUCCUGCUGCUUCCUCGCUUUCUCUCUCUGUGUGAUAGUUAUCGGUCGUACAGAUUUUGGAGAUUUUCCCUCUGUUCUCAAUUAUUUCCCUCUCCACUUUCUAUCUCUAAGCCAGUGGUCAUUCAUAGACUUGUAGUUGAAAACCCCGGUUCCAAUAGUUGUCAAUAUUGGAUCGAUAAUAGGCCAGACCAUCAUUUUAUGUUGCGGAAGUUCAAGAGGCGCACUGUGCAACUGUUCUAAAAGCCUGAAUUGCUCUCGAACUGAUAUUUGAAGGGGUAAGGCUCAGAAGUGAGCGUAUGCCUGGGAAUAAGUAUAAAGUUAACUCAAACGAUAUUACGGACCAUAUACCAGGUCGACUAGAAAGGCUCUUGCGAGAGAGAAAGCUAAGGAAAAGCAGUAAGGAUUCAUAUUCAAAUGAGGUGAACGACCACAGUAAGGAGUCUGAACUAAUUGAAAAUGACCUUCGUUCGAAAGAAGAAGAAAACGCUGGAAUUUCCUAUAAAUUUUCGGAAGCUUCUGCAGCCUCAAGGGCCUUUGCCGAAGGAUGUGACAAGCAAGAGGGCAAGCCUCCCAGACAACGGUUGCUGGUUGUGGCCAAUAGGCUGCCAGUUUCUGCGGUUAGGAGAGGUGAAGAUUCCUGGUCUCUAGAGAUUAGUGCUGGAGGUCUAGUGAGUGCACUUCUGGGCGUGAAUGACUUUGAAGCGAGAUGGAUUGGUUGGGCUGGUGUAAAUGUGCCAGAUGAGGUAGGACAAAAGGCACUGACUGAAGCUUUGGCUGAGAAGAGGUGUAUCCCUGUUUUCCUUGAUGAAGAAAUUGUUCAUCAGUACUACAAUGGUUAUUGCAACAACAUUUUAUGGCCUUUGUUUCAUUACCUUGGCCUUCCUCAAGAAGAUCGUCUUGCCACCACGCGUAGCUUUCAGUCUCAGUUUGCCGCAUACAAGAAAGCAAACCAAAUGUUUGCUGACGUAGUAAACAAGCACUAUGAGGAGGGUGAUGUUGUUUGGUGCCAUGAUUACCAUCUUAUGUUUCUUCCCAAAUGUCUAAAAGAUCAUAAUCGUAAGAUGAAAGUCGGCUGGUUUCUCCAUACACCUUUUCCUUCUUCUGAAAUCCACAGGACCCUUCCGUCCCGAUCAGAGCUUCUGCGCUCAGUACUUGCUGCCGAUCUGGUUGGCUUUCACACGUAUGAUUAUGCUCGUCAUUUCGUAAGUGCUUGUACUCGUAUUCUUGGACUUGAGGGUACACCAGAAGGAGUUGAGGAUCAAGGAAAGCUAACGCGAGUUGCUGCAUUCCCUAUUGGUAUCGACUCAGAUCGAUUCAUACGUGCACUCAAGACUUCUGAAGUCCAAGUACGCAUUGAAGAGUUGAAGGACAGAUUUAAAGGUCGAAAGGUAAUGUUAGGCGUUGAUCGUCUUGAUAUGAUUAAAGGAAUACCUCAAAAGAUAUUAGCAUUUGAAAAAUUCUUGGAGGAAAACACUGAUUGGCGUGAUAAAGUUGUUUUGCUGCAAAUUGCAGUGCCAACAAGAACAGACGUGCCAGAAUAUCAAAAGCUUACAAGCCAAGUUCAUGAAAUAGUUGGACGCAUUAAUGGGAGAUUUGGAACAUUGACUACCGUGCCCAUACAUCAUCUGGAUCGCUCCCUUGAUUUUCCUGCAUUAUGUGCCCUCUAUGCUGUAACUGAUGUAGCGCUUGUCACAUCUUUGAGGGAUGGAAUGAAUCUCGUCAGUUAUGAAUUCGUCGCUUGCCAGGAUGCAAAGAAAGGGGUUUUAAUUCUUAGUGAGUUUGCUGGUGCUGCGCAAUCUCUGGGUGCUGGGGCACUUUUGGUCAACCCUUGGAACAUAACAGAAGUCGCAAAAUCCAUCGAGCGAGCAUUAAAGAUGGGUGCUGAAGAAAGAGAAAAGCGCCAUUGGCAUAAUUUUCUUCAUGUGACAACACACACUGCCCAGGAAUGGGCUGAAACUUUUGUGAGUGAACUUAACGAUACAGUAGUUGAAGCUGAACUGAGGAUUAGGCAAUGUCCACCCCCGCUUCCAUUUGACAAUGCAAUGAAACGUUAUGAGCAAUCUACUAAUCGAUUACUCAUACUGGGGUUCAAUUCAACAUUAACUGAACCAGUGGACACUCCUGAAAGAAGAGGCGAUCAGAUUAGAGAAAUGGAUCUGAAACUACACCCGGAUUUGAAAGAACCAUUGACGGCGAUUUGCAACGACCCCAAUACGACAGUGGUCAUCCUCAGUGGGAGCGAUAGAACAGUGUUGGAUGAUAACUUUGGGGAGUAUGAUAUGUGGUUGGCAGCUGAGAAUGGGAUGUUUCUACGCUUCACAAGGGGUGACUGGAUGACUACAAUGCCUGAGCAUUUGAAUAUGGAAUGGGUCGACAGUGUGAAGCACGUUUUUGAGUACUUCACAGAGAGAACUCCCCGUUCCCAUUUUGAACUCCGCGAAACUUCACUUGUUUGGAACUAUAAAUAUGCAGAUGUUGAGUUUGGAAGGCUUCAAGCAAGGGAUAUGCUGCAGCAUUUAUGGACAGGUCCAAUUUCUAACGCAUCAGUUGAUGUUGUUCAAGGUAGCCGAUCUGUUGAAGUGCGAGCUGUUGGCGUUACCAAGGUUAGUCCUUGACCGAAUAUUGGGAGAAAUAGUUCACAGCAAGUCCAUGACGACUCCAAUAGACUAUGUCUUAUGUGUAGGCCAUUUUCUUGGGAAGGAUGAAGAUGUUUACACAUUCUUUGAGCCUGAACUACCAUCGGAUACCAUAGGCAUGGCAAGAUCAAAGGGAACUGACGGACUUAAGUUAACGGGGGAGAGAAGAUCUUCCAUCAAAGUUCCUGCAAGUAGGAACGGAUCGACAGCGCCUCACAAUAAGGCGCGGUCGAACCUGGAGAAGAAAACUUCAAAUCAUAAUUGUGCAAACGGUCGUAAACCAUCACCGGAGAAGAUUCAAUGGAAUGUGCUCGAUCUCCAGGCUGAGAACUACUUCUCUUGUGCUGUCGGACGAUCUCGGACAAAUGCUCGAUAUAUGCUCGGAUCAUCAGAUGAUGUGGUGUCAUUCCUAAAGGAGUUGGCAAGUGCAAAGUCAUUUUCUUGAGACCCAAGUAUGUGCUUGCUUGCUUGCUCGCUCGCUCGCUCAUGUUUAUGUCUAAACUGGUGAUCAUGCUCGAAAUUGUGCGUUUGGUGUCUUUUUGCUCCACAGUGUCAUCAGUGUCUUUUUCCUUUUGUUGCUUCGUUUUUACCCUCAGCUACUUUAUGGAAUCUACAGCGUUUAAUAUCCCCAAGCCUAUUUAGUUACAUAAGUUAAGUGUUCCAUCUUUUUCAAAAUUAAAUUAUUAUUAUUUUCUAUUA